This 472-nucleotide ribosomal RNA is filed under the name uncultured bacterium. Its description in RNAcentral is "partial 16S ribosomal RNA". It matches the Rfam family "Bacterial small subunit ribosomal RNA", at positions 28 to 507 of the family's 1533-position model. The record is from RNAcentral.
GACGAACGCUGGCGGCGUGCUUAACACAUGCAAGUCGAACGCUGAAGCUUGGUGCUUGCGCUGGGUGGAUGAGUGGCGAACGGGUGAGUAAUACGUGUGUAACCUGCCCUUGACUCUGGGAUAAGCCUGGGAAACUGGGUCUAAUACUGGAUACGACAUGUCACCGCAUGGUGGUGUGUGGAAAGGGUUUUACUGGUUUUGGAUGGGCUCACGGCCUAUCAGCUUGUUGGUGGGGUAAUGGCUCACCAAGGCGACGACGGGUAGCCGGCCUGAGAGGGUGACCGGCCACACUGGGACUGAGACACGGCCCAGACUCCUACGGGAGGCAGCAGUGGGGAAUAUUGCACAAUGGGCGGAAGCCUGAUGCAGCGACGCCGCGUGAGGGAUGACGGCCUUCGGGUUGUAAACCUCUUUCAGCACGGAAGAAGCGAAAGUGACGGUACGUGCAGAAGAAGCGCCGGCUAACUACGUG